Molecule: ribosomal RNA, 565 nt
Filed under: uncultured bacterium
Lineage: Bacteria
Description: bacterial SSU rRNA
Rfam family: Bacterial small subunit ribosomal RNA
Source: RNAcentral
AACCCGAGCGUUAUCCGGAUUUAUUGGGCGUAAAGGGUCCGUAGCCGGUCUUGUAAGUCUUUGGUUAAAUGCCAGAAGCUCAACUUUUGGAAUGCCAGGGNAAACUGCAGGACUUGAGGGUGUUAGGGGCUGAUGGAACGCACGGUGGAGGGGUGAAAUCCGUUGAUAUCGUGCGGAACACCAAAAGCGAAAGCAUUCAGCUGGGGCAACCCUGACGGUGAGGGACGAAAGCGUGGGGAGCAAAAAGGAUUAGAUACCCUUGUAGUCCACGCUGUAAACUAUGGAUGCUAGCUAUGUGAAGUGUCGACCCUUCACGUGGCGAAGCUAACGCGUUAAGCAUCCCGCCUGGGAAGUACGGUCGCAAGACUAAAACUUAAAGGAAUAGACGGGGACCCACACAAGCGGUGGAUCAUGUUUGCUCAAUUCGUCAACAAGCGAAGAACCUUACCANGGCUUGAAAUGCCAGUUGAACCCCUAUGGAAACAUGGGGCUUCCCCACAANGACACUGGCACANGUUUUUGCACNGCCGUCGUCAGCAUGUAUCGUUGAGACCUCCGUUCAAUC